Molecule: ribosomal RNA, 862 nt
Filed under: uncultured bacterium
Lineage: Bacteria
Description: bacterial SSU rRNA
Rfam family: Bacterial small subunit ribosomal RNA
Source: RNAcentral
GGCUCAGGAUGAACGCUGGCGGCGUGCCUAACACAUGCAAGUCGAACGAUCCGCAAGGAUAGUGGCGCACGGGUGAGUAACACGUAGCUCAUCUGCCCUCGGGAGUGGGAUAACGUUCCGAAAGGAAUGCUAAUACCGCAUAAGCUCACGCGAAGUAGAAGCGAGUGAGAAAAGUCGUAAGACGCUUGAGGAGGAGGCUGCGGCCCAUCAGGUAGUUGGUAGGGUAAAAGCCUACCAAGCCGACGACGGGUAGGGGGUCUGAGAGGAUGAUCCCCCACACUGGGACUGAGACACGGCCCAGACUCCUACGGGAGGCAGCAGUGAGGGAUAUUGGUCAAUGGGCGAAAGCCUGAACCAGCGACGCCGCGUGGGUGAUGAAGGCCUUCGGGUCGUAAAGCCCUUUUGGGGGUGACGAGAACAAGGACGGUAGCCCCAGAAUAAGUCUCGGCUAACUACGUGCCAGCAGCCGCGGUAAAACGUAGGAGGCAAGCGUUAUCCGGAGUUACUGGGCGUAAAGCGCGUGCAGGCGGCUCGGUAAGUGGGUCGUGAAAGCGCCCGGCUAAACUGGGCGAGGACGAUCGAGACUGCCGGUGCUCGAGAGUGGUAGAGGGACAGGGAAUUCCGGGUGUAGCGGUGAAAUGUGUAGAGAUCCGGAGGAACACCAGUGGCGAAGGCGCUGUCCUGGGCCACCUCUGACGCUGAGGCGCGAAGGCGUGGGGAGCGAACGGGAUUAGAGACCCCGGUAGUCCACGCGGUAAACGAUGCAGACUGGGUGUUCACUACCCUAACGGGUAGGGAGUGCCGAAGCUAACGCGGUAAGUCUGCCGCCUGGGGAGUACGGUCGCAAGGCUAAAACUCAAAG